Molecule: ribosomal RNA, 271 nt
Filed under: Providencia rettgeri
Lineage: Bacteria; Pseudomonadati; Pseudomonadota; Gammaproteobacteria; Enterobacterales; Morganellaceae
Description: partial 16S ribosomal RNA
Rfam family: Bacterial small subunit ribosomal RNA
Source: RNAcentral
UAAUUGAAGAGUUUGAUCAUGGCUCAGAUUGAACGCUGGCGGCAGGCCUAACACAUGCAAGUCGAGCGGUAACAGGGGAAGCUUGCUUCUCGCUGACGAGCGGCGGACGGGUGAGUAAUGUAUGGGGAUCUGCCCGAUAGAGGGGGAUAACUACUGGAAACGGUAGCUAAUACCGCAUAAUCUCUCAGGAGCAAAGCAGGGGAACUUCGGUCCUUGCGCUAUCGGAUGAACCCAUAUGGGAUUAGCUAGUAGGUGAGGUAAUGGCUCACCU